This 254-nucleotide ribosomal RNA is filed under the name uncultured bacterium. Its description in RNAcentral is "partial 16S ribosomal RNA". It matches the Rfam family "Bacterial small subunit ribosomal RNA", at positions 524 to 774 of the family's 1533-position model. The record is from RNAcentral.
UACGUAGGGUGCGAGCGUUAAUCGGAAUUACUGGGCGUAAGGCGUGCGCAGGCGGUUUUGUAAGUCAGAUGUGAAAAUCCCCGGGCGUUAACCUGGGAACGUGCAUUCAGGACUGGGAAACUCGAGUCUGGGAGAGGGUGGUGGAAUUUCCGGUGUAGCGGUGAAAUGCGUAGAUAUCGGAAGGAACAUCAGUGGCGAAGGCGACCGCCUGGCCUAAGACUGACACUGAGGCACGAAAGCGUGGGGAGCAAACA